This 327-nucleotide long non-coding RNA is filed under the name Androctonus crassicauda. The record is from RNAcentral. Lineage: Eukaryota; Metazoa; Arthropoda; Arachnida; Scorpiones; Buthidae.
UUUGAAAUCUCCAAUGGAAAACAUAAUUGGAUAGAACUGUGAAAAACAAACAACUUUUAAAAGUUUUUUAAUGUCACCUACAUAUUGUGAGAUAUCACGAGAAAAGAUGUCAUCACAUGUAUCGCCGAUGGGGCUAUUUAAGCAAUAAGAAGAAUUCGACAGAGAUCAUCUGUGUUCAUUGCGGAACAUUAGGCCUAUUGAAGCAGCAAAGAGCAGUACUGUAUUAUGCAGAUUUAAGGCUAAUUCGGAUAUUUGAUGAUAGUACUCGAACCAGGUCCGACAAGUCAUUCACCAUCACAGUUCGGCAUGGAGCCAUACUCAAAAACA